UGCAUCUUUUUCUAUUUUUGUUCUGAGCAUAUGAAUCUUUUUUUCUUUUGGAGCACCUGUCUUCACUUGGAAGUCGCAUUUGAAAUUCUGUGUAAGCUAUCACUGUUCAUAUGACAUUCUAGCUUUCUCACUGCAAGAGGAAAACCUUGGAUGAAGUGAUUCGUGGCUGUGAUGGAAUGUGAGCUUGAAGUAAUGUACAGUUAAUUUGGCUUCAGAAAGAAAGCAGCGACAAGAAACAAGGCUAAAACAAGGUCAAUUUUGUUUGUUAAAUAGUGAGCUAUCACAUUUAAACCGUUUCCUUUACAUAAGCCAGUGCAGCUUAAGGCUGUUAAUAGCAAAUGUGCUAUUAUUUUGCUACUCUAAUUUAAGUAGUCGUUUGUGUUACCUGCAUCAUCUGAUCAAUAUUUUCUGAAUUUCAGAGGUGGCUAGGAACUACCCAACGUAAGCUGAUAUGCUGUCACAUUCUAUCAAAACAGUGGCAAACUGGCUGACAGAACUGCUUCUUGAGCGUCAUCUGUGCCUCAAAGAAAAAUAAUACUAGAAACCAUUGAGCCCACCAAUCUAUGUGUAAGCAGCUGCAUUUUUCCCUGAGGUAGCACGAAGAAGGAAGUUCUGUAGCUGUGACCUCAUCAACUAACUUUCUGCAUGGGAGCCGCAGUUGUCCAAAGAAGAUUACAACAAAGCAUUCCAGGGUGAAAGUAAAGCCUUUCUGGUUACCAGAAA
Molecule: long non-coding RNA, 723 nt
Filed under: Dermacentor andersoni
Lineage: Eukaryota; Metazoa; Arthropoda; Arachnida; Ixodida; Ixodidae
Description: uncharacterized LOC126542788
Source: RNAcentral